Molecule: ribosomal RNA, 447 nt
Filed under: uncultured bacterium
Lineage: Bacteria
Description: bacterial SSU rRNA
Rfam family: Bacterial small subunit ribosomal RNA
Source: RNAcentral
UCGGGAAUUUUGGGCAAUGGGCGAAAGCCUGACCCAGCAACGCCGCGUGAAGGAUGAAGUAUUUCGGUAUGUAAACUUCGUAAGAAUAGGAAGAAUAAAUGACGGUACUAUUUGUAAGGUCCGGCUAACUACGUGCCAGCAGCCGUGGUAAUACGUAGGGACCAAGCGUUGUUCGGAUUUACUGGGCGUAAAGGGCGCGUAGGCGGUGUGUCAAGUCAGUUGUGAAAUCUCCGAGCUUAACUCGGAACGGUCAACUGAUACUGUCACACUAGAGUACAGAAGGGGCAAUCGGAAUUCUUGGUGUAGCGGUGAAAUGCGUAGAUAUCAAGAGGAACACCUGAGGCGAAGGCGGGUUGCUGGGCUGAUACUGACGCUGAGGCGCGAAAGCUAGGGUAGCAAACGGGAUUAGAUACCCCCGUAGUCCCUGAGCGGGCUGGCAAGGCGCAU